ACUCGGCCCAUUCCAAGUCCCACCUUGCGUACGUGAGCCAAACGCUCCUGGUCCUGGCAGUCUCCAUCUCCACCUAGGGUUCCGGCGAUGGUGCACGGCGGCUACCCGCGCCGCGACGCCGCCGUCCGCCGGCCCAAGUCCUCGUCCUCCGCCGUAGUUGCCGACCGCAAGCGGAAGUGGACCGCCGCCGCCAAGAACACCUCACUUAAAAACCAGAUCCGUUCCACUGAGCGCUUUCUCCACAAGGUACUUACCGACACCUGGGGGCUGGGGUCUUCUCGACUGAGCUCGGAACCUCUAGUUUAGCGUUGUUCCUACCCAGUGGAUGGGCUUUGGCUGUUGCUUGUGGAGCGCUGGGUGUUUCUCUAGGAACCUCUCCAUUUUCUAGUUGAUUGGGAAGCUUCCCCGAACGUAGCUAGGAAUUUUAGCACGAAAGUCUUUCUACAAUGAUGAAUUGUUCAACCACAAAUAUUUAUUUACUUGUUGCUUCUGUAGGGGGCUAGGGGCAAAUUGAUGCUUCAACUGAGGCCUCUGUUUGUUGCAUUCCGCUCAGUAGCCUAAUUCAUGGUGUAGCUGGAUUACUGCAGCUUGCAUAGGUGAUUAGGUGCUAUUAAGUAUCAAGUAUUGAUUGAAAAACUAUCAGACUGAAAUGUUAACUAUGUUGCUCAAACGGUUAGUCAGAAAUGCUGUGAAAGGGCAUUUGUUCUUGUCAGAGGAGAAGUGACGAAGCCUAAUUGACCUUGUGUUGGUGAAGAUAUUCACUCAAACAUCAAAAUCAUAAUAACAAGUUUGAUUGAAUAUCGAUUUCAUGCCCAUGAAUAGUACAUGUCAGGGGGUAUUUAUAGAGGUCCUUGCUUUCGUAAUUGCUUAUACAAAGUCUAAAAUACCCCUAACUUGUUAGAUUACAAUUGUUCGUCCGCGCAAGGACAGUUUGGUCAUUUGUCCUCUCUGUUGGGGGCCUUCGUCCUCCGAAGGUCCUCAAAAACAUGAUUUGACAAUGUUUUCCAAGUGGAUUAUGUGAACAGGUACCUUCGGACUCAGAAUUACGAACAUGAAGUGCGGUCAGGACGAAGCCUGAACCAGACGAAGGACGGGCUGAUUACCAAGCUCCA
RNA transcript from Zea mays, 1112 nucleotides. It is a transcript of the gene named rRNA-processing protein EFG1-like, with no coding region annotated. NCBI's taxonomy places the organism in Eukaryota, Viridiplantae, Streptophyta, Magnoliopsida, Poales, Poaceae. The record is from RefSeq and is marked validated. The transcript has a single exon.